GGUUUAUUUGGAUUUAAUAAAGCACCUAUCCAAGCUUGCGUUGCUGUAUAAAUGAUAAAGCACAACAAAGGGUAGAUAUCUUCAAUGUAGAUGGCAAGAGCUCUAUCAAGCAGGACAUAUUGCCCAAAUAACAAUACAAGAGAGUAUAUGACACAAACAUAACAUCAAAAUAAAACAGUAACUUAAUGUGAUUGUUUAAUGAAAAAAUUAAACAAAAACCCAGGAUCUCAUAACUAGCCAUCUUCUAAUCUUUCACCCCGCUCAUCCUAGAAAUGCUCAGGCAAUUAUAUGUGCUGUGCAGUAUGGCCUGAAAGUUAACAAAUGAGGACACUGUUGAGCCAAUGGGGGUAAUGAAUUACAGAGCUGAAAACAAACCCGGAUGGAAAAUGCCUUGCAUUCAGCUCCUUCUUUUAAACCAUGGGACUGUCAAUUCUAGAACGUCUGCUGACUGCAGCUGUCAUGGUAUCAUCUAGGAAGAAAGAUCUCAUGAUUGCAAAAGGACUCAUGAUUUUUGCAUGCUUUGAGUUAGCAUUAAUAAACAUACAUCACCUCUAACUGGAGAGACCACCAGAAGUCUCUGAGGAAAGUACAGUAUCUGAACAUACUCAGCCUGCCAACCAAGUGGAAGAUUGUGGCAAGAACCAUAAGGCAAAGUUCACAAGCAUUUGUAAGGUGUUCAGAAUAAGCAACUACAAAAAAACAGAUUUUGCUGGUUACAACUUUCAGUCAAGAAAAGCUAUUGUUGACCAAUGGCCAGGAAGUUUGCAAAUCACUCUGUAAAAUCUCUCAGUGUCACACAUGAAAGAAGCCUCAGCCUCCCACAUGAGAGAAGCAAAGAACAGCACACAGGAGUUUUGUUGUGUGCCUGUCAUAAUGUUGCCCCAGUAAAUGAUUCCUCUUGAUCCAGAUUUAAUCCAAUAAAGAAGACAGAAUAAGA
This is a long non-coding RNA of Alligator mississippiensis (American alligator), 937 nucleotides long. RefSeq lists it as uncharacterized. Lineage: Eukaryota; Metazoa; Chordata; Crocodylia; Alligatoridae. The transcript is spliced from 2 exons. The record is from RefSeq and is a predicted model, not a curated record.